CCCUUAGAUGUUCUGGGCAGCACGCGCGCUACAAUGGUCUUCGCAAACGGAUGCAUUCUCGAAGGAGAAUGCCAAUCUUGGAAUCUAUGCCUUGGUCGGGACAGUUGCUUGCAAUUUUUCGACUCGAACCAGGAAUUCCUUGUAAUCGUGAUUCAUCACAUCACGAUGAAUACGUCCCUGCCCUUUGUACACACCGCCCGUCGCUCCUACCGAUAGAAGAGUUAGGUGAAUUGUUUUGAUCGAUAAGAUUUGACUAUGGUCAACUCUCGUUGUGAAAUUCUGUGAAUCUGACUGUUUAGAGGAAGGAAAAGUCGUAACA
This 319-nucleotide ribosomal RNA is filed under the name uncultured eukaryote. RNAcentral describes it as "partial 18S ribosomal RNA". It matches the Rfam family "Eukaryotic small subunit ribosomal RNA", at positions 1470 to 1796 of the family's 1831-position model. The record is from RNAcentral.